GACGAACGCUGGCGGCGUGCUUAACACAUGCAAGUCGAACGGAAAGGCCCUGCUUUUGUGGGGUGCUCGAGUGGCGAACGGGUGAGUAACACGUGAGUAACCUGCCCUUGACUUUGGGAUAACUUCAGGAAACUGGGGCUAAUACCGGAUAGGAGCUCCUGCUGCAUGGUGGGGGUUGGAAAGUUUCGGCGGUUGGGGAUGGACUCGCGGCUUAUCAGCUUGUUGGUGGGGUAGUGGCUUACCAAGGCUUUGACGGGUAGCCGGCCUGAGAGGGUGACCGGCCACAUUGGGACUAAGGUACGGCCCAGACUCCUACGGGAGGCAGCAGUGGGAAAUAUUGCACAAUGGGCGGAAGCCUGAUGCAGCAGCGCCGCGUGCGGGAUGACGGCCUUCGGGUUGUGAACCGCUUUCGCCUGUGACGAAGCGUGAGUGACGGUAAUGGGUAAAGAAGCACCGGCUAACUACGUG
Molecule: ribosomal RNA, 468 nt
Filed under: uncultured bacterium
Lineage: Bacteria
Description: partial 16S ribosomal RNA
Rfam family: Bacterial small subunit ribosomal RNA
Source: RNAcentral